Molecule: ribosomal RNA, 530 nt
Filed under: uncultured bacterium
Lineage: Bacteria
Description: bacterial SSU rRNA
Rfam family: Bacterial small subunit ribosomal RNA
Source: RNAcentral
GCUUCGGGUUGUAAACCGCUGUCGUAGAGGAGGAAAUGAGGGGGGUCUCCCUUCUGUUUGACCUAUUCUAGGAGGAAGGACGGGCUAAGUUCGUGCCAGCAGCCGCGGUAAGACGAACCGUCCAAACGUUACUCGGAAUUACUGGGCUUAAAGGGUGCGUAGGCUGCGCGGAAAGUUGGGUGUGAAAGCCCUCAGCUCAACUGGGGAAUUGCAUUCAAAACUACCGUGCUCGAGGGAGACAGAGGUAAGCGGAACUCAAGGUGGAGCGGUGAAAUGCGUUGAUAUCUUGAGGAACACCGGUGGCGAAAGCGGCUUACUGGGUCUCUUCUGACGCUGAGGCACGAAAGCUAAGGUAGCAAACGGGAUUAGAUACCCCGGUAGUCUUAGCUGUAAACGAUGAGCACUUGUUUGAAGGGUCCUCCAUAGCCUUUCAGACGUAGCGAAAGUGUUAAGUGCUCCGNCUGGGGAGUAUGGUCGCAAGGCUGAAACUCAAAGAAAUUGACGGGGGCUCACACAAGCGGUGGAGGAUG